ACCUGUGGCUGUGGGCUUUCCAAUUGAAUCCGUCUCCAAGCAGAUUCAGAAUACAGGCAGGGACACACCGAACGAUGGAGGGAGAGAGACCAGGAGAAAUGCUAAGAACGAUGGCUCUGCCUUCUUCUUCUUCUUCUUCUCAGCGUCUCAACACAGAAAAACAAAUCUUCUUUUUACUCGCAUUCUUUGAGCUUUCUCCUCUGCAAUGCGGAAACAAUAGCACUGAUAUUAAUGUAGCCUCUCUCGAUCAAAAACCGUCUCGAAACUUGCUCUCCUUCAAGUCGUAGCUGCGUGUAUCUAGCUAUCCCGGAGUCUCCUUCUUCGUUUUGCGUGUAAGAGCAUCUAAAUUGUUAAGGAUGGAUGGAAAUUUGGCGGGAUCUGGCACAUCUCCAAAAAUGUCACCAGCCAACAUCGCAGUUGCUGAGCAAUUUGCACUGGAGUGAGUUAACAAUGACAAAAGAAGAAUGCUUCAUGUUGUUUAUGGUGUUGAUGACUUGGAGAAGACAAUAAACUAUGUUGAUUUAUUUAUUCCUCAGUUCACACUUUUACUUCAGGGAUAAAGGGUCUGUAAAUGUUUCUAAUUUGACUUCGGAUAUUACACUGAAUGCUAGCGGAUGAAGCUGUCAAGCAAACUUGACAUACCAGAGGAGAGCCAUUGAAAUGCUUUUGUUGGAUCUGGACCUGAAAAUUCUCAUUUUACUGUUGAACUCACUUAUAAGAAUUCUUAGCCUUCUUCAGUUUCUUUUCAUCUUUUGUUGUAUUUGUAAGUAUGCGGUAGCCAUAAUGGUAUAUGGUCCAGAAGAUAAAAAUUUUGUGCUGGAACUGACAUAAUUAUAUAGGACAAAGGAAUGGUCAGUACAAAGAUUGCAACAAAUGAUUUAUGCAAGAGCGCCAAAUGCCAAAACAAUUAAGCUGUGUGGAGGAAGCAUCAUUCAUGAACCUGGAUCUCUACCAGGGAUUAAUAACAAGAUUACCGCAUGCUGGGACCCUGAUGGUUGGAAAUCAGUAUGAACUUUUGGAGGCGUUUUCUUGAAUUUUCAAACUGACUUAGUGUUUGCAUUUAUUUUCCUUUUGUAACCUUUUUAAAAGUCCUCUCAUACCAUUGGCAUCAGUACUUAUUACUUUGGUUGAAUUCAGGUUUUCCAGACAACUUAGAUGUUUUAUAGAUGUUCAGCAACUGUGUGAGGAAUGCCAUCUGUGAUAUAAUCAUCAUUGCAGUAGGAAUUAAAGUAAGAAUAGAUUUUAAAAUCUUAUGGGCUUGAGCUUUUUGUAGAAUUGUAGAUAUCAAUUCUGAGUGCAGCCUUGAUAGAGUCAACGCAAGGCUGUAUUAGUGGAACAUGUUUCAUGCUCUAGUAAGGAAAUUGUUCCAAAAAUUCCAUAUUCGCUGAUGUUUAUAUAUGCUAGCUGGUAACAACAGAACAAAACUCCUAUUUCAAUCAAUCAUUAAUUGUAGAUUUUCAUAUGAAGCCAUCAACUUAAUAUUCAUAGUUUGUUUUCUUUUUCUUAUCUGUAUGGCAGUAACUCUUUUGAUUUUUUUUUUAAAUAUUUUUAUUUUUAUUUUUAUUCAUUGGGAUUAACCUUGUAAUUUCUUUCCCCCUCUUACUCAAUCCUGUUGGUAGAUUCUUAAGUCCUUCGGCUUGUUGCCUUUUACGAAGUAGCCAUUUUCUCACAAGAAAUAGCCCAUGCUAGAAUGUUCCUAUGGCCAUUCUCAUUCAAAAGCCCCCUCCCUCCUGCAGCUUUAUACACCACUCAAAUAAUUGUUAAGUUCAUUUAUAUUUUCAAGGAAAUCUAAGAUAUACAUUUUUGUUAAUCACUUUGCAAAGUCAAAGGCUAGUUUUGCAGCAAUUGAAAGUUGCCUCCAAUUUUAUAUUGGUAUGGCAAUUGAGCAUAUGCUGAAUCCCAUCAGUCCACAUCCGUUUUUCAUCUUUACUUCUGCACUCAAACUCUAUCACUCUUUCAGCUGUUUUUAUCCCAAAGUAAGAUCUUUGCUCGUUGCAGUCUUCUUUCUCCCUUCCGGGCCAUGCGGGUGUGUCACUGUAUACUCCAGACACUAUGCCUGUAAUCAAGGCAAGGGCUGACUCAGUGGAUGGGGAAGAUAGAGAGGUAUUUAUUAGCUUUGGGUUUGAGAGUUUGCUUACACUUCUUCUUUUUUGUGAAUGUUCCUGCCAUGUGCUUGCUUUUCAUUUUGGCUACCACCUGUUUAUUUACAAAUUUUCAUCAGUACUCUGAUUUUUUCUGGGAAUAAAAGUACACAGAAAAAGAAGUUUUGAUCUAUUUAAUUAUUUAGCUGAACUUCCUGGAGGUAUUUUUCAUUUUGUUUAAUGUAAUUAUGUGGUUUAAGUAUUUCCUGCUUUACCUGCCAAUUUGAAUUGAUGUUAAAAGAAACUUGCUUCCAGUGGAGAGCUCCUGCCAUCAAAAUUUUGGCGGUGAGUGUUAGUUGCUUCUUGUUUAUGGAUUUUGUCAAUGUGACUUUACAAUUUUAUGGAAAUCCUUCUGUUAUCAAUGUGAAAUAUGUACCUUUCCUAGUGCGCUUGAGAAGUUCUCCCCCUCUAGUCACAAAGUUUAGCGCUGCCAAGAUGUUAGAUUCUUUGCCUUCUUCGCCCUUUUCCUCCACCAGAGCAAAGGCUGUACUUCCAUGUCCCUUUUGCAGUCUCGCUUUUAGAGCGUUAGCUCCUCGUAAGGCUGUUUGUGUAAAUUUCCAAUAGAAUUAGACAACACAUAUUGGAACAUUUCAACGAAAAAUCGUUGAUUCAUAGUGUUCAUCUUCUUCCUGCCAUUCUCAUUGUAGCAGUUCAAUUUGUAUUCAUUUUCAAUCCCGAGUUUAUUUCAUACUGGAUGGUUAGUGUACCCAGAAGGAUGACUGAUAUUUUUUACCAAAAUUUCCAGCAGAAGAAUUUAGUGAAGAUGUUGGGUUUUGCUAAAUUUGGUUAAGCUUUUAUUAAUUAAGCAUAUGAAGCAUAGAACCACCUAAUUUAGUAGCAAUUUAAUGAUUUUGAUGAUACCUGUAGCUGCUCCAGCUGUUAGAGUCAUGAUAUCUCCACUAGUCCUUGCAUUUACAGCAGAGUUGACAACUGUUAAGAUUUGAUCAUGAUCAGCACCCAUUUCCUCUGCAAUCUCAAUACAGUGAGAUGCUACUAGAGCUGCAGCUGAAGCCAUUGCAGCUGGUGUCUUGGAAUGUGUCUUUUGACAGGUUGAAGCCAUUUCCACUGACAUCACAUUUGAGGCAGCUAGAGCUGCAACAGCUGCAGCAACCCCUGCAACAGAUACAGCUGCAUGGAGUUGUGCAUUAUUAGUUCUAAUCUCCUGCUUCUUCCUCUCCUUUUGAUCCUUCAACCAUCUUCCCAUUGUUCUCCCUUUAAUUAUGCUCUUGUAUAUCUGCACAGCAGUAAGGUCAAUGGGAAUGACACUAACACUGUUAAUUAUUUGACAUUAUUGAAUAAUGAGAUACCCCAGUUCUGAGCAGCUGUUGACUUGAAAGGAAUUCUGGGUUGAGUGCUUGAUGAAGUAAAAUUAAUUCCUGCAUAGAUUAUAUGGUCAUUAGAAGCAAUGUCUUGUUAAACAGUUCUUUUCUAUUGAAUGCUUGAUUCUAAUAGAUACAGGCUUGAGUUCCUUUGAAAAGUUGCAGAUAGGGGCAUAUUGGCUGUCUAGCCGGUGAAAACAGAGAAGGAAACUGAAAAUACCUUCAUUUCUUCACUCUCCCUUGGAGAUAUUGGAGGGCUACCCUUAGCACCAUUAGAGCUGAAGGAUCUUACAGGUUCCUUGGGAGCUGUAGCACUUGCAUCUUGCUCUUCAGCUUGAGCAGAAAGCAAAGGUGACUUCUCAACAUUUUCAGAAGCUCCAUGUGUGUUAGAAAGAGCUUUGGAGAGCUCCAUGGCUGAAAGGCUCCAUGAUCUAGCAAGAAACUCCAUGGUCUCAAUAGGAGUUUCAGGUGCAUCACACGAGACUUGUUGCCAAAGAGCAGGUCCAUUUUCAUCUAUGUUCUCCAGCUUUUGAGAUAAGCUCUUUGUGCUGCUAGAGCUCACUGAAUCACACCAACCCAUGAAAAGAACACAUAUGAUUAGUUUCCAUUUACACUUAAAAAAAAAGCUAGCUUUAUAGUAUCAUAAGAGAGAAGCCUACUUCUGAGAUUUUUAUCUCCACAAGGUUCAGACUCCUCUGCAGUUUGGGCUGUGGUGCAAGUUCUCAUGCUAAGAGAGGAAAAAACAGAGCAAGAAAGCAAGAGAAGCUAAUGAACAAGAGGAGAAUAGUUGGAUAUUUAAGUGGGGAAAUGAAGUGAAAUUGCUUAUUUCUUUAAUGGGGAAAAUGAAAGUGAAGGAAAAAGUGAAGAUUUAAUAUUAUAUAGUAGAGAAAGGGCCCCCUGUUAAAGGGCAGUUUAUCUUUGUCCUCUACUUGCAGUAUAUGCUUUAGAUCUCCACUCCUUUGUGUUCUGCACAUAAAGAGCUAAAGAUUAUUUUUCCUA
Molecule: long non-coding RNA, 4459 nt
Organism: Manihot esculenta (cassava)
Lineage: Eukaryota; Viridiplantae; Streptophyta; Magnoliopsida; Malpighiales; Euphorbiaceae
Exons: 5
Source: RefSeq, a predicted model, not a curated record